Lemur catta (Ring-tailed lemur) is the source of this 1198-nucleotide long non-coding RNA. RefSeq lists it as uncharacterized. The record is from RefSeq and is a predicted model, not a curated record. Lineage: Eukaryota; Metazoa; Chordata; Mammalia; Primates; Lemuridae. The transcript is spliced from 3 exons.
UUCUUUUCUUUCUAUUUUCUGUCUCCUUUGAGGCAGCUCAAAUGUCAUUUCUUGCUAUUAAAACAUUGCUUAAUCCAUUUUAUGUCUCAGUGUGGGGUAUGAGAGAGCAACGGCAGGCAUCUUCUCUCUCUGUCCCCUACAUCCAGCAGCCUGUGCAUUUCUCUCUCCCAGCCCCAAUCAUACUGAAUUAUAAUGAUCACAUUUACUCAUCUGCUUCCUUAUCUUGGGAGUGAGCUCUUAAGAUUCCUUUCUGUGUCUAAGGAUACUUGUAUCCCCAGAGCUCAGCUUGGGGGAUGAGAAACACCACAUAGAAGACAUUCAGUGAAGUUUUAGAGUUAGAUGCCUUUCUCAUGGUGGGAGAUGAAAGAAGAAAUGAGUUUUAAGUUCUAAUAUGAGCUCUAGGGUACCUCAGUUAUGUAUCUAGUGGCAAAAUUCAACCAACCUAUACUUUAGCUUUCUCAAUUUGGACAAAAUGGGCCAAUUCUCCAAACCCCCUCUAAUCUGGCCCAAUAGCAAGGAAGUAUCAUGACAGGGGAACCACAUGGGCAUUGGGAGUGGUGCUCUGAUCAUGUACAAGAAACAAUUAAUUCUACAGGCUUCCAGAAGAGGCACCAUGUAAGUUCCAACUGAUCCCCCAAAGUAAUCCUGUUCUCUGAAGUAUUAUGUAAAGGAAUUUCUAUUACCUGCUGAGAAAGGCAUGAAGUAGUCACUUUUCUUAAAGUUGCCACUCUCAUCCAGAAAGUGGCCAGGGUCAAACUGCUCUGGGUUGGAGAAUUCCUUGCUGUCAUGCAGCACAGAUGUCAGGAAUGGUAAGAUGGUUGUGCCCUGGAAACCACAAACAUAGAUAAACCAAAGUAUAAAGAAGUCACGGAACUGGAAGAAACAAUGAAUAAGCAAUUGGUGAUCCAGUGAAGUGAAGUGUCAUCAAUGCAGGAAUAUGUGCUGGCUUCAAGUGAAACGGAGUAGCUGGUAGUGCAGCAACUAAAAAGUCUGAAGUAACACAGAAACCAUGUGUUAGAAAGCAUUACAAGCUGCUGACACAAAACCUAAUCUCACGAUUCCAGAGAUCGGGAACCUCAGAGAGGUCAGCUGACGGCUGACGGCUACAGUCAAGUUUUCACUAUGUUUGUAUCCAAUUCUCACUCAAGGCAGGAGACAUUUAAUUGUUUGCCUAGUGAGGGAGGAAUAAACCUUUUCC